CACGGAGGACAUGCAACAUUUUAAGUAUCUACAGCAUUCCACAGCCCUCAAAAUCGCCAUCUCUGCAGGUUACUCUGUGACACUCCUUUUGUGGCACAUAUCCUAGCACUUGGAGUUACAAAAGGACCUAUCCAGACAGCUUCAGGUUGCCAAGCACCCAGGCAAAGAGACUGCUGUUUGCAAGAUAUUACGUUAAUUUCAGAAGAACAAAAGGUUCAAAUCUGACUAUUCCAAGAAUAGCAACCCCUAGGCAGCCCAGGAUUGAGUAACCCGUUAGGGUGAAAUGGUCUGCCGGUAAGAGGCAAACACUGUCACGAAGAUAUUAAAUGGCACUGCAUCCGGUACUGAACAAAAAUUGAGUGGAAAUUGUGGAGACCUGUGCGAGGAAGGUUCCCUUGGGGAUGCCAACAUAACAACACAGAAAUAUGGCUGAAUGGAAGAGAAAACAAUGUAUGCCCAAUUUAGUGUAUCUCACCCUGCCUUUCUCACAUCAAAUGAGCACAAGGAAUUCUUAUCUUCACUGUUCUGAUGAGAAAAGGGAGGUUCUGGGUCCAUUCUGAGAGUUAUGAUCUGCAUCGAGGCUACCAGCUAACUACAAGCAAAACUGUGAUCCUCAUAAUCAAAGAAGAACAGUCUCCAAAGAAGUCAUUUAGGACUGGUGCUUCAUCAACUUCAGUGUGAUCUCUACUGGUGCAAUUUAAAUUAUGACAUAACAUCCUCUUACGUGUGGCCUCGGCAUAUUAAGAUACAAGGUUCUGCCAUACAUUUUCAAGGUUGAAAAAUCUUAAGAGUCUACAAUGAAUUCAAAUUCUACACUAAAAUGGGGCACGGGGAACUGUACAGGUCAUUCUUAUUGUUUUAGUUUAAGUAAAAUCAGCAAAAAAAAAAAAAAAAGAAAGAAAGAAAGAAGAAGAAGAAAGAAAACAUAUAAGCACAGAUUUUUAGAACUGCCACAUUAGAAUCAAUGUAGUCAAAAUUCUUUUCCUGCUCAUUAUAAGGAAGAAAACUACACUACCAAGCCUAAAAAAAAGAAAAAGAAAAAAUGGUUUCUUUCAUUCUUUUCAUUGUCUGCAAACCUCACUAGAUCAAUUGAGAAAGUGGGCAAUAAAAUAUAUUUUUUCUUGAAGGCAAAUCCUACAACAGAGAGAAAAAUCAUCUCCUUUUGCCAAAGGCACACACUAAUUGAAGCAGAAAUAAAACAUGGAAUAGAAAAGAGAUAAAAAUACAAAGUUAUGCCUUGGUCCAAUUAGUAGGUAGAGAGUUAAACAAAUUAUCAGUUCAAGGCAUUCACCAUUAAAAAUCAGAAGUAAAAUGGCUGUAAAGCAACAUGCACCUGGUCUUGAUAGUAGAAUCCAUAGCAAUUUCAAGAAAGUAAUAUUGUACAUCUGGAAGCGGUCCAAUGACAAAUGAGAACAAACCAAUAAAUCCAUAAAAGGAUCUUAGUAAAGCUUUUAUUUCAAAAAAUGUGUUUCCACUUUCUCAAUCUAAGCUAUAUUUUACAUAAAACUGUACUUCAUACUUUUUAGUAGACUAAUCUGGCCCCAAUAUAAAAUAAUUAAAGUUGCAUUAUUUCUCACUAUGCAUGUUUCAAACAGCCCCUAGACUUCAAAGUUAUAGAGCCCUCAUUAGCAAAUAAAUAGAAAUAACACCCAUAGUAAUAUUUUGUUAAGUUUUUCAUACCACGAUCUUCAAGGACCUCAGAGAACAUCUACACUAUUAAUAAGUCAAUGUUUCCUCACUGUGAAGGGAGGAAAAUAUUACUCUUGAAUACUCUAGAAACUCAGUUCUUUACUAUUCAAAUGUGUGUUCAUAUUUAACAAACGCAGGGGUCGGGGGAAGAACAGUGAGCUCUAAAAUCUCUUUCAGCUUCUGGCCAGAAAAACCAUAGCUCCAUAGGAACAGAUUUUAAAAAGACAAGAAUUAUAGUUAAUAUAAUUACAGUAAACUAUAGUGCCACCCUAAACAGAGAAUUUCAAAAAACUGAUGACAUUGUAAAGCAUAAUUAUAACCAACCCCCAAAAAUGAUUCAGAAAUAAGUACCAGAAAAAUACAAAAUUUAUGGUUAUUAGAAGGUUUCCCCAACAUGUAAGACUUUAGGACAAUGUUGUACUCAAACCAUGUUAUCAGAGCUACCACUAAGGCUGAGAGCAUAAACAAUAAAUAAAUAUUUCAAUACUUCU
Molecule: non-coding RNA, 2180 nt
Organism: Ictidomys tridecemlineatus (thirteen-lined ground squirrel)
Lineage: Eukaryota; Metazoa; Chordata; Mammalia; Rodentia; Sciuridae
Source: RefSeq, a predicted model, not a curated record